UACUCCCGAGAGACCGAUAGCGAACCAGUACCGUGAGGGAAAGGUGAAAAGAACCCCGAGCAGGGGAGUGAAAUAGACCCUGAACCCGUCUGCCUACAAGCGGUCGGAGCAUAGCAAUAUGUGACGGCGUGCCUUUUGCAUAAUGAACCUACGAGUUACCUUCCCCGGCAAGGUUAAGUACCUAAGGUACGGAGCCGAAGCGAAAGCGAGUCUGAAGAGGGCGGCCAGUCGGGGGGGGUAGACGCGAAACCGAGUGAUCUACCCUUGGCCAGGUUGAAGGUUGGGUAACACCAACUGGAGGACCGGAUGGGUAAGCGUUGAAAAGCUUUCCAAUGAGCUGAGGGUAGGGGUGAAAGGCUAAUCAAACUCGGAGAUAGCUCGUACUCCCCGAAAUGCAUUUAGGUGCAGCCUCUUUAUAGUAUAUCGUGAGGUAGAGCGACUGAUUGGAUGCGAGGGCUUCACCGCCUAUCAAGUCCAGAUAAACUCCGAAUGCGCGAUAUAUAUUUAAAGGGAGUGAGGGCGCGGGUGCUAAGGUCCGUGUCCGAGAGGAGAAGAAUCCAGACCACCGGCUAAGGCCCCCAAAUGAUCGUUGAGUUGAACUAACGAGGUCGGAUCGCAGAGACAGCUAGGAUGUUGGCUUGGAAGCAGCCAUUCAUUUAAAGAGUGCGUAACAGCUCACUAGUCGAGCGAUCUGGCGUGGAUAAUAAUCGGGCAUAAACGAUCUGCCGAAGCCGUGGAUGUCGUAAGACAUGGUAGGGGAGCAUUCCAUGCGGCGUCGAAGAUGAGGGACGACCCUUGUUGGAGCGCAUGGAAAAGCAAAUGUAGGUAUGAGUAACGAUAAGGGGGGCGAGAAACCCCCCCGCCGAAAGACCAAGGUUUCCUGAUCAACGCUAAUCGGAUCAGGGUGAGUCGGGACCUAAGGCAAAGCCGAACGGCGACGCCGAUGGAAGAAUGGGUUAAUAUUCCCAUACUGCCUCAUGGAGUGACGUGGAGACGGAGAAGUGACAGUCCUGCCGGCUGACGGAAUAGCCGGUUGAAGGGUGUAGAUAUUGAUUCCCGUAGGCAAAUCCGCGGGGAGAGUCGAACCUGACAGUAUACCGAGUACUUGUACGAGGUAAUAUGGACGUAACCAUGCUCCCAAGAAAAUCCGCUAAACUUAUCCAUGCGGCACCCGUACCGUAAACGGACACACGUGGUCGGGUUGAGAAUACUGAGGCGCUCGAGUGAUUCACGGUUAAGGAACUAGGCAAAUUGACCCUGUAACUUCGGGAUAAAGGGUCCCAACGAGAGUUGGGCGCAGAGAAUAGGUCCAGGCAACUGUUUAACAAAAACACAGGGCUGUGCCAAAUCGAAAGAUCCAGUAUACAGCCUGACACCUGCCCGGUGCUGGAAGGUUAAGAGGAGAUGUCAUCGCAAGAGAAGCGUUGAAUUGAAGCCCCAGUAAACGGCGGCCGUAACUAUAACGGUCCUAAGGUAGCGAAAUUCCUUGUCGGGUAAGUUCCGACCUGCACGAAUGGUGUAAUGAUCUGGACACUGUCUCAACCGUGAGCUCAGUGAAAUUGUAGUAUCGGUGAAGAUGCCGAUUACCCGCGAUGGGACGAAAAGACCCCGUGAACCUUUACUAUAGCUUUACAUUGAAUUUGGGCAGACGAUGUGUAGGAUAGGCCGGAGGCUUUGAAGGGGGUACGCCAGUAUCCUUGGAGCCGCCGUUGAAAUACGGCCCUUCGGUUGUUUGAGUUCUAACUCCUAGGCAGGAGGACACUGUAUGGUGGGUAGUUUGACUGGGGUGGUCGCCUCCAAAAGCGUAACGGAGGCUUCUAAAGGUGCCCUCAGACCGAUUGGUAACCGGUCGCAGAGUGUAAUGGCAUAAGGGCGCUUGACUGGGAGAGAUACAACUCGAUCAGGUAGGAAACUAGAGCAUAGUGAUCCGGUGGUUCCGCAUGGAAGGGCCAUCGCUCAAAGGAUAAAAGGUACUCCGGGGAUAACAGGCUGAUCCCUCCCAAGAGCUCAUAUCGACGGAGUGGUUUGGCACCUCGAUGUCGGCUCGUCACAUCCUGGGGCUGGAGAAGGUCCCAAGGGUUGGGCUGUUCGCCCAUUAAAGUGGCACGCGAGCUGGGUUCAGAACGUCGUGAGACAGUUCGGUCUCUAUCUAUCGUGGGCGCAGGAGAUUUGAGGGGCUCUGACACUAGUACGAGAGGACCGUGUUGGACGUACCACUGGUUUACCGGUUGUCCCGCCAGGGGCACCGCCGGGUAUCUAAGUACGGAUCGGAUAAGUGCUGAAAGCAUCUAAGUACGAAGCCGGCCUCAAGAUUAGAUCUCCCUGAAGGGUGGUUAUAGACGAUGACCUUGAUAGGCCACAGGUGUAAGGGCGGCGACGUCCGAGCCGAGUGGUACUAAUUGCCCGGGACUUUCCUCA
This 2418-nucleotide ribosomal RNA is filed under the name human gut metagenome. RNAcentral's name for it is "bacterial LSU rRNA". It matches the Rfam family "Bacterial large subunit ribosomal RNA", at positions 471 to 2925 of the family's 2925-position model. The record is from RNAcentral.